Molecule: non-coding RNA, 744 nt
Organism: Macaca mulatta (Rhesus monkey)
Lineage: Eukaryota; Metazoa; Chordata; Mammalia; Primates; Cercopithecidae
Source: RefSeq, a predicted model, not a curated record
AUGGGAGGCAUUGUGACAUAUCUCUGGGUCCAUCAACUGCUUCAUUUGACCCUCCUCUCCUACCCAUGCUUUGUCAAUUGGAGAGAUUAUGACAUAUCUCUGGAACCAGAAUCUUGGUGAUGUGACUCUUCUCUCCUGCUGAAGCCAUGCCCACACAAGGGAAAGUGACUUAUCACUGGGCCCAGCACACAGGUCUUUUCCCACAGUGAGCAUUGUGAAAUAUCACUGGGCUCAGCCACCAGGUUAUGUGACUCUUCUGCCUGUGCCCUGCUUCCAGGAAAUAUUAUGACAUCCCUCAUACAGCACCCAGGGAAAAUUGUGAUGUAUCACUGGGCCCAGCAAGAAGGCGAUGAGUUUGUUUUGCCUGCACCUUGCCCACAGAAAACAGUGGAACAUAUCCCUUGGCCUAGCACUAAGGUGAUGUUUCUUUUAUCACUGGUUCCUGGCCUCAAAAAUGAUUGUGACAUAACCCUUUCCCAGCACUCAGGUGAUGUGACCAUCCUGCUCACUGUCUACUGACAAAUGGGAUUGUAACAUACAUCUUGGCCUGGCUUACAGGUGCAAUAGUGACUCUCAUACCAGUCACCAGGAGAGAUACUGUCUCUUAUAACUAAGCUUAGAGAAAUGGGUAAGAUCCUGGGUCUCCUUUUUGUAGGAAGGUCAUAGAGAAUUUCCACUCCCUCACAUGCUGUAUAAAGCCCUCAGGUGAUACAGAGAGUGUCAUCACAGGGCCCAGCACACAGG